RNA transcript from Hordeum vulgare subsp. vulgare (domesticated barley), 3953 nucleotides. It is a transcript of the gene named putative pentatricopeptide repeat-containing protein At3g13770, mitochondrial, with no coding region annotated. Lineage: Eukaryota; Viridiplantae; Streptophyta; Magnoliopsida; Poales; Poaceae. The transcript has 6 exons. The record is from RefSeq and is a predicted model, not a curated record.
CUUACCGGCUCAGUACUAUUUUGAACGGAAAAACAAAACGACGGGGGCGUAUGUAUUCAUUACAAGUGUAUUUAGCACGCAAAAGACAAUCCAAACAUACAUGGCCUUAGAUUUUUAUUUUUGAACAGUUCCCUUAGGCUUCGUGCUGGGCUAGGAACAGAAGCGAGGACCUGGAAGGCGGCGCGCGCGAGGUGCUCGGGGAAAUGCCCGCGCGAGUCCGGCGCUCUUUGGAGGCAGCAGGAUCAUGCUCAUGACGCGCGGGUUACGGCGUGCCGCCGUGCCGCGCCUCGCGCGCCGCUACAUGUGUGCCACGGCGGCUCGACGUACCACAACGUCGGGUUUGGUAGCGCCCGGCGCCGGAGCGAGGUUCCACGACUACGACGCCGCCGUCACGGCGUGCGUCGAGAGGCGGGCGCUCAAGCAAGGAAGGCAGGUGCACGCGCACAUGGUCACGGCGAGGUACCGCCCGCCCGUGUACCUGGCCACGCGGCUGGUCAUCAUGUACGCGAGGUGCGGGGCGCUGGACGACGCGCGCAACGUGCUCGACGGGAUGCCGGAACGGAAUGUGGUGUCCUGGACGGCCAUGAUCUCUGGGUACUCGCAGACCGGCCAGCAUGCCGAGGCCUUGGAGCUGUUCAUCCGGAUGCUUAGAGCUGGAUGCAAGCCUAAUGAAUUCACUUUUGCAACUGUUCUUACAUCAUGUUCUGGCCCUCAGAGCAUACACCAGGUCAAGCAAGUCCAUUCUCUCAUUGCCAAAACAAAUUUUGAGUCGCACAUGUUUGUUGGGAGCUCCCUUCUUGACAUGUACGCCAAGGCAGGGAAUAUCCAAGAAGCUCGGAGGGUGUUCGACAUGCUUCCAGAAAGAGACACUGUUUCCUGUACCGCCAUUAUAUCUGGCUAUGCUCAGCUGGGCCUUGAUGAUGAAGCCUUGGACUUGUUCAGGCAGUUGUACAGUACAGGGAUGCAAUGCAAUUAUGUUACUUUUACGACCCUUCUCACUUCAUUAUCUGGGCUGGCCUCCCUGGAUUAUGGCAGGCAAGUUCAUGGACUAAUACUUCGUAAAGAGUUACCAUUUUUCGUUGUUCUACAGAAUUCUUUGAUUGAUAUGUACUCCAAAUGUGGCAAGUUGUUAUACUCAAGGAGGGUAUUUGAUCACAUGCCACAGAGAUCAGCCAUCAGUUGGAAUGCAAUGCUUAUGGGAUAUGGUAGACAUGGCAUAGGGCAUGAAGUCGUUCAGCUCUUUAGAAGUAUGACUGAAGAAGUGAAGCCUGACAGUGUUACCCUGUUAGCUGUUUUAUCUGGUUGUAGUCACGGUGGGCUGGUUGAUGAGGGGCUUGACAUUUUCGAUCUUAUAGUAAAAGAACAAAAUGCAGUUCUCAGCAUUGGGCAUUAUGGGUGUGUUAUUGAUCUUCUUGGACGCUCUGGACGACUACAGAAGGCUUUAGAUUUGAUACGAGAUAUGCCAUUUGAGCCGACUCCAGCAAUUUGGGGUUCAUUGCUUGGUGCUUGCAGAGUUCAUAUUAACGUUAGUGUUGGUGAGGUUGUUGCUCAGAAGCUUCUGGACAUGGAGCCAGGAAAUGCUGGAAACUAUGUGAUACUUUCUAACAUUUAUGCUGCUGCUGGAAUGUGGAAAGAUGUUUUCAGAGUUAGGAACUUAAUGCUGGAGAAGACGGUAACCAAGGAACCAGGGCAGAGCUGGAUAAUUCUUGACAAGGUUAUCCACACCUUUCGCUCAAGUGAUCGUUUCCAUCCCAGGAAGAAAGAUAUAGAUGCUAAGAUAAAGGAGAUAUAUGUUGAUAUUAAAGCAGCUGGGUUUGUUCCGGACCUGAGUUGUGUUCUGCACGAUGUUGACGAUGAGCAGAAAGAACGCAUGCUUCUUGGUCACAGUGAGAAGCUGGCAGUAACUUUUGGACUGAUGAACACCCCUCCAGGCUUGACUAUCCGGGUUAUGAAGAAUCUUCGCAUCUGUGUUGACUGCCAUAAUUUUGCGAAGUUUGUUUCAAAAGUUUACCGAAGGGAGAUAUCUCUCAGGGAUAAAAAUCGGUUUCAUCUACUUACAGAUGGAGCUUGCACUUGUGGAGACUACUGGUGAAAGAAACAUUGAUGUGUUAUCCAUGUAGCUUUGCUGAUCAGCAAAGCUAUUUUUGUCCAGAUAAUACUGCUUACAGGAUAAGCAAUGUAAUGCUGAAUACGAGAGCAGUGAAUGAGGAAUGCUAUGUUCAUUCCGAGUUCAGUUAUCAGACAGAUCACCAAAGAUUUGCUAGAAAGAGAUACAGUUGGUUCUUCUUAGCACUCUAUACUUGAAGGUUGCACUCUCUCUCUCUCUCUCUGUGUCUCAAUUAUCAUUGGUCGUUGCAGCAAGGGCAAUUCAGAGGUUUAGGUUGUAUCAUGGGUUCAUAUGGCAGGUCCCACAAAAAAGAUGUACUAAGGUUAGUAGCUGCUACAACUGAAGCUAUUGUUCAUGCAACCGCAAGGUUUCUAUUGUUUGUCUUGGAAUGAAAUAAUAAUGCCAGGGUCCUCCAAAUUAUCUGGCUGACAGUGUCUUUUGUGGAAACUUGUUUGCUUGUAGCUAUAAUUGAUUCCUAUUGUUCUUCUGAUCAUGGAACUACAAUGUUGACAAGACCAUGGUUGGCACUAGCUAUUGUGGAAGCUUUUGUGCAUUUACCUAUAAAAAAUAUCAUUAUUGGUUAGCUAUUGUGGAACCUUUUGUGCGUGUAGCUUCAACUGCUGCAUUACCUUAUCUCAGUCUCUUAUCUUGAAAUUAAGAAAAAUCCUGAGGUUUUGAAAAAAAAAGGUUCCCAUAUUGAGGACCCAAUGCAGUAGCAGGGAAUGAUUCUUGGUGUUUGUUCAUGAACUAGGAAGAAGCCAAAUUUUGAGAAAGGCUACCAUGGCUCACUAAUGAGGCCAAUCACCUGUUGCGUGUUUAAGCUGGACUCCGGUGGAACAUGAAGACAGUACAUUUACAUGCACAAACCAUUGGAGAACUCCAGCUGGAAGCUUGCACACUCUCUCUCAAUUAUCAUUGGUUGUCGAGCCAAGGGCAAUUCAGAGUUUUAGGUUGUAUCACGGGCUCAUAUGGCAGGUCCCACAAAAAAGACGUAUCAAGCAAGAAGCCAAAAUUUGAGAAUGGCGCCAUGUAUGGCAUUCAGCGAUCGUGGUACCUGUCGCACAUGUACUGCGGGCAGGGUCGGAAGCCCUGUUCAACGCCGUGCCCGGGCUGGACGGGCUGCCCGGCUCGGUGUCCCUGGAGCUGGGCACCAGGCCAGGGUGCUUUGUGACGGCCCCCCAGCGGCGCAAGGGGCUACAGCGCCGGCGACAAGGCCCAGGUCGGCUGCCUGACCAGCUGCGGCAGCCGCAACACGGCGUUCCGGAAGGCGGUGAGCUUCACGCAGGCGGCGCCACUGCGGCGGUACCACCCGCUGAGCUUCAUGGCGAAGGGCACGGAGAGGAGCUUCGUGCUGGAGCCGCUGCGGAGCCUCCAGGACGAGUUCUACACCGUCUACUUCAACCUGUUCACCGCCGCCGCCGACAGCUGAAACGCGGCGCUGAACAACUGCCGAUCCUCCAUGUGACUAUGUGAGACUGGGAGGGCAGACAGACCAAAGCUUCAGAGAGUGGCGGCAGUCUGGCUCUGGCAGUGACAGAGACACAUGCGCUACGGCUACACAAUUACUACCGGUACCGUUGGAGUAGUAUCUCCCAUCACCAAAACAUGAAAACAAUAGUAAUGCUGUUGUGUUGCAUGUUCCUUGAGUGAAAACAGUGCUCUUGCAUCUUGAUGUGCGAUAGAGAGAGAGAGAGAGAGGGAGCCCGAUGUGGUUGAGAUUUCUAGAGGUUGGUUAAGAUCUCGAUCAAUGCGCCUCACUUGCAUACAUUCAUGUGUGUGUGUGACAUAAAUGUCGUCCAGUUAGGUACAUAUAUAUCAUAUAUGGUAGCAUUAUUGUUCAUGUGGA